UUCCCAAAUCGCCAAAUCCCUAAAAAUCAAAACACUCACUCCUGCGCCACCUUCAUUAUCGUUCUCCAAGUUCUUCAAUCAUUCUCCAAUCUCUUCACCUUAAAUUACUCGAUCCAAUCCCUUAAUCGUUCCCAUCGAGAGAAGCGAGAACCCUAGACGGCCGACCCUGAACGCCUCAUUGCCUCUGUACCGAACCUCCCCCUCACACUCCUGCGCUCCUCCGUUCUACCGGAGAUCGACUGC
This 243-nucleotide long non-coding RNA is filed under the name Trifolium pratense (red clover). Its description in RNAcentral is "long non-coding RNA (TPRA_LNC000851)". The record is from RNAcentral. Lineage: Eukaryota; Viridiplantae; Streptophyta; Magnoliopsida; Fabales; Fabaceae.